RNAcentral lists this long non-coding RNA (5711 nucleotides) under Hordeum vulgare. RNAcentral's name for it is "long non-coding RNA (HVUL_LNC000297)". Lineage: Eukaryota; Viridiplantae; Streptophyta; Magnoliopsida; Poales; Poaceae. The record is from RNAcentral.
UGCUGCUACGUUCUUCCUCAUCCCGUCCUGCGGCGUGCACCGUUCGUCGGGACAGUAGGCCUCCGAAACUCUGUCUCUUCGAGUCCUGUACGGGAGAAGGGCGAUAAGGUUUUUGGGGAGCGCUCAGCGCGACUACUGGCUUCCAUCACGGACUCCGACGAUCUCUUCCCGAACGACGACUUCUUCCCCGACGUCGACCACCUCUUCGGUACUAUGGCCAACACCAAUGCUCCUGCUGCUGCAACUCAGUACGUACUUCUGUGCUUCUUCUUUGAAUUCCUAUCACACCUUUUUGCUAUAGUUUCUCUGCUAGAUAUGUUCCGUUUCUACUCAUUACUCCAUAUGAUAUCUUAUCUUUGUAAAACGGUUUUACAUAUGCUCUUUUCUGGAUCCUACGUGCGCAUGUCUUGUGUCUUCUCAUCUCUAUAUAGCUUGCCUUCUUUCGUUGUUGUUAUAUUGUUUAUGUUUUUCCUAGUUUUUCUUGUAAUAAAAUCCUAUGGUAAAUUGCUCAUAUUUCCAACAAUCCAAAAACCUUAUUAUAGGCAAUUUACCCCGAGUGGUUUUGCUGACUCCAUGAGGCCUCCUAUGUUUGAGGGUGUUCACUACAAGAGGUGGCGCGUGAGAGCUGUUCUAUGGUUUCAAACCAUGAGCUGCUAUGACGCCACUCUUGGCAAACCUGAAGGAGAUCAUGAUGCUCAACAUGAGGUAGCUUUUCAGAAAAUGGAUACCUUGUUUAAGGCUGCUCUCUUGAGCGUUCUUGGUGAGAACAUAGUUGAUGCUUAUGCGUCAAUUGAUAAUGGAAAAGAUAUGUGGGAUGUUCUCGAGACCAAGUUUGGGGUCUCGGAUGCUGGCACUGAGUUGUACAUCAUGGAACAAUUCUAUGAUUACAGGAUGACUCAAGAGCGCUCCGUGGUUGAGCAAGCUCACGAAAUACAGUCAUUUGCAAGAGAACUUGAGCACUUCAAUUGCAUGCUACCGGACAAAUUUGUUGCCGGAGGCAUCAUAACUAAACUUCCUCCUUCAUGGAGGAACUUUGCUACCUUAAUGAAGCAUAAGAGACAGGAGUUUUCCGUUCCGGAUCUCAUAGGUACUCUUGAUGUGGAAGAAAAGGCGAGAGCAAAAGACACACGUGCUCGAGCUAUUGAGGGAGGUUCUAGUGCCAAUCUGGUACAGAAGAAAAACUUCCAGCCCCACAAUUUCAAGAACAAGGGCAAGUUCGAUGGUAAAGCAAAGUUUGAUGGAAAAAACAAGGCUGUGCAGCACACCAACUUCAAGAAGAAGAAUGACAAGAAGAAAGGUGUUUGUCAUGUGUGCGGAGAUCCUGAUCAUUGGGCACCUAACUGCCCUAAUCGUUAUGACAAGCGUCAACAUGGGAAAGGCGGCAAGUGUGCUAAUGUCGUUAUUGCUGACACUGACGUGGAGGAUGUUGGGUAUGGUAUAUUACCCACUAUUCUUUCAGUAUGUCAGUUUCCUGAUUGGUUAAUUGACACGGGUGCUAAUGUGCAUAUAUGCGGUGAUAUUUCCAUGUUUUCAUCUUAUCAGUCCGCAGGGACUUCCACCGUCCUGAUGGGCAACGGUUCACGUGCUUCUGUUCGUGGUGUUGGCACGGUCGAUCUGAAGUUUACUUCGGGAAAAGUCGUGCGGGUGAAGAACGUGCAUUAUGUCCCCUCCGUCAAUAAAAAUCUUGUUAGCGGAUCUCUUUUGUGUAGAGAUGGCUACAAGCUUGUCUUUGAGUCUAAUAAAUUUGUAAUAUCCAAGUAUGGAACUUUUGUUGGUAAGGGCUACGAGUCAGGAGGCCUGUUUCGUUUAUCCUUGGCAGACGUUUGCAAUAAAGUUGUUAAUCAUGUUUACAACAAUAGUGAAUCAAAUGUGUGGCAUUCACGUCUUUGUCAUGUUAACUUUGGUUGCAUGCCGCGACUAGUCAAAUUGAACUUAAUCCUUAGCUUUAACACCGUCAAGGGAUCUAAGUGUCAAGUUUGUGUGCAAGCCAAACAACCUCGUAAGUCUCACACGACUGCCGAAACGAGGAAUCUUGCACCACUAAAACUCAUACAUUCAGAUCUAUGUGAAAUGAAUGGUAUUUUGACAAAAGGUGGAAAGAAAUAUUUCAUGACACUAAUUGAUGACUCCACUAGAUAUUGCCGAGUGUAUCUUUUGAAAUCUAAGGAUGAGGCUUUGAACUUUUUCAAGAUCUGUAAAGCUGAAGUAGAAAACCAACUUGAUCGAAAGAUCAAGAGGCUUAGGUCCGAUCGUGGUGGAGAGUAUUUCUCAAAUGAAUUUGAUUCCUUUCGUGCGGAACAUGGUAUAGUCCAUGAGAGGACGCCUCCCUAUUCACCUCAAUCAAAUGGGAUAGCCGAAAGAAAGAACUUUACUCUAACUGAUUUGGUUAACGCCAUGUUAGACACAUCGGGUCUCUCCAAGGCAUGGUGGGGGAGGCGAUAUUGACUGCAUGUCAUGUCCUAAAUCGAGUUCCCACAAAGAACAAAGCGAUAACUCCAUUCGAGGAAUGGGAAAAGAAAAGGUUAAAACUCUCUUAUCUAUGAACCUGGGGUUGUUUGGCAAAAGUCAAUGUGCCAAUCCCAAAGAAGCGCAAGCUAGGACCAAAAACUGUGGAUUGUGUUUUUCUGGGAUAUGCUUUUCAUAGCAUUGGAUAUAGAUUCUUGGUUGUAAAAUCUGAGGUAUCUCACAUGCAUGUCGGUACAAUCAUGGAGUCCAAUGAUGCGACUUUCUUCGAAGAUAUCUUUCCCAUGAAGGAUAUAUCUACCUCAUCUAAUCAGAAGAUGCCUAAUUCAUCAAACCAUGAAUUAGUUACAUCUACUGAACCUAUCAUUUCGAUGGAACACUUUGAAAAUAUUGUGGAGGAGAACAAUGAAGUUCCUACCAGGAGCAAGAGACAGAGGACUGCAAAGUCCUUUGGUGAUGAUUUUCUUGUAUAUCUCAUAGAUGACACUCCCAGUUCUAUUUUAGAGGCCUAUGCGUCUGAAGAUGCUGACUACUGGAAGGAGGCAGUCCGUAGUGAGAUGGAUUCCAUCUUGGCAAAUGAAACUUGGGAGAUCACUGAUCGUCCUUAUGGGUGCAAACCUAUAGGAUGCAAAUGGGUAUUCAAGAAGAAGCUUAGGCCUGAUGGUACUAUCGAAAAGUACAAGGCACGGAUCGUGGCGAAGGGUUAUACCCAGAAGGAAGGUGAAGACUUCUUUGAUACUUACUCACCCGUGGCUCAACUGACCACUAUUCGAGUACUACUUUCACUAGCCGCCUCACAUGGUCUUCUCGUUCAUCAAAUGGAUGUUAAGACUGCUUUCCUAAAUGGAGAGUUGGAUGAGGAAAUUUACAUGGAACAACCAGAUGGGUUUGUAGUACAUGGUCAGGAAGGGAAAGUAUGCAAGUUGCUGAAAUCUCUAUAUGGACUUAAGCAAGCACCAAAGCAGUGGCAUGAGAAAUUUGAAAGAACUCUAACUACUGCAGGCUUUGUAGUAAACGAAGCUAAUAAAUGUGUGUACUAUCGCCAUGGUGGGGGCGAGGGAGUUAUCCUUUGCUUGUAUGUUGAUGACAUACUGAUUUUGGAACAAAUCUGAAUGUUAUUAAAGAGGUCAAGGAUUUCCUAUCUCGAUGUUUUGAGAUGAAGGAUUUAGGAGUGGCUGAUGUCAUUCUGAACAUCAAGUUGUUGAGAGACGAAGAUGGUGGGAUUACAUUGCGUCAAUCUCAUUAUGUGGAAAAGAUCUUGAGUCGCUUUGGGUAUAGUGACUGCAAGUCCUCUCCCACACCAUAUGAUGCGAGCGUGCUGCUUAGAAAGAAUCGAAGACUUGCUAGAGAUCAAUUGAAAUAUUCUCAGAUUAUUGGCUCGCUUAUGUACUUAGCUAGUGCUACAAGACCUGACAUCUCUUUUGCUGUUAGCAAACUGAGUCGGUUUGUCUCAAAACCAGGAGAUGUGCAUUGGAAAGCUCUAGAGAGAGUUUUGCGUUAUUUGAAAGGCACUGCAAAUUAUGGAAUUCACUAUACUGGAAACCCAAAGGUGCUUGAAGGGUAUAGUGAUUCAAAUUGGAUCUCUGAUGCUGAUGAGAUAAAAGCCACUAGCGGAUAUGUAUUCACUCUUGGAGGUGGCGCUGUUUCUUGGAAGUCUUGCAAGCAAACGAUCUUAAUAAGGUCAACAAUGGAAGCAGAACUCACAACACUGGAUACAGCUUCGGUCGAAGCAGAUUGGCUUCGUCGGCUCUUGAGUGACUUGCCGGUUGUUGAGAAACCAGUACCUGGAAUCCUUAUGAACUGCGACAAUCAAACUGUGAUCACGAAAGUGAGAAGCUCUAAGGAUAACAUGAAGUCAUCAAGACACAUACAGAGAAGGUUAAAAUCUGUCAGGAAAAUGAGAAACUCCGGAGUUAUUGCAUUGGACUAUAUCCAAACAUCUAAAAAUCUGGCAGAUCCUUUUACUAAGGGUCUAUCACGUAAUGUGAUAGAUAAUGCAUCGAGGGAGAUGGGUAUGAGACCCACAAUUUGAGUUGUUCACAGUGGUAACCUAUUCUUUGUGAUCGGAGAUCCCGUGAAUUAGAUGUGGAAGACAAGUUGUUGGUCAACUGAGAGGAAAGUAUCCUUAUCAUUAAUGAUACCACUCCAUGAAGAUGCAAUACUUUCCUGAACUGCAUGGCAGGUUGAUAUACAUCUUAAUAUGUUCUAAGUUGUUUACUGAAGCAGAGAUGUUGUCCUGCAGAACAUCUUUUGAAGAACAUACCUAUAUGAGUCAGAUUGUUAAACGUCACAAUCUAUGAGAGUAGGGUGCUCUCUAGUAUACUCACGAAAGGUCUCGGAGUAUGACGCAUAAGCUCCAUUCGCGGGGAAGUCCCACGACAGCCUAGUAUCGGUCAAGGAUCUGUGUGAAGCUAGAUUCGCAGAAAACUUGCAGUUCAAGGCCUAGUCCACUGUUCAAGUUGCUUACUAGUGUAGCAUAGAUUUCUAGGUGGAACUUCAACUUAACAGUCUCCACUGUAGUAUCGGUAUAUAAAACAGUGUUUUGGAACCAAAAGCAAAUUUUGUGUGCCUCUGGGAUCUGGUGGGGGAUUGCUGGAAUUUUGUGUAUAUAUGAGCCAGCCCAAUAUGUAAUUUCAGAAAUUCCUAAUAAAUCCUAGAGGCCCACGCAGCCCAUUUGUGCAAGGCAAGAGGUGGAAAUGUUUAGUCCCAUAUCGCUAGUUUAGUGGGAGUUGGACCUCCUUAUAAGGGAGGAUGUUUUCACACAUGUAUGAGCUUGAGAACAAGAGAGACAUACACGCGCGCUCCUCCUCCUCCGCCGCCCGCCUUGUCACGACGCGCCGCGGGUUGCGGGAAUGAGCCGAACUAAAUUUUUGCCACGCACGACUGGUAUAUGAGCGGGAAAAGCUACAUCCCGUCGCUGGCCUCUCGUCUCCUUCUCCUGCGCCUAUAAAAGAGAGGUCGCUCCUCUCCAGAGAUACGAUGCAUCAGAAGUUCCCACUCGCCACCGGUUCUUCUCUCUGUGCUGCUGCUACGUUCUUCCUCAUCCCGUCCUGCGGCGUGCACCGUUCGUCGGGACAGUAGGCCUCCGAAACUCCGUCUCUUCGAGUCCUGUACGGGAGAAGGGCGAUAAGGUUUUUGGGGAGCGCUCAGCGCGACUGCUGGCUUCCAUCACGGACUCCGACGAUCUCUUCCCGAACGACGACUUCUUCCCCGACGUCGACCACCUCUUCGGUACUAUGGCCAACGAC